This 100-nucleotide ribosomal RNA is filed under the name Bacillota bacterium. Its description in RNAcentral is "Firmicutes bacterium (anaerobic digester metagenome) partial 16S ribosomal RNA". It matches the Rfam family "Bacterial small subunit ribosomal RNA", at positions 1 to 96 of the family's 1533-position model. Lineage: Bacteria; Bacillati; Bacillota. The record is from RNAcentral.
AACUGGAGAGUUUGAUCCUGGCUCAGGACGAACGCUGGCGGCGUGCUUAACACAUGCAAGUCGAACGGGAAGUAGCGUAGCUUGCUAUGCUACGGAUAGU